GGCCCUGCCAUUCAGUCGUCGUUCUAGAAUCUGCGUAGUGCAUGGAUUUGUUGCGUGGCUUCUAGAGAAAGCACAGUGGAAAGAGAGAGAGACUCCAUCGAGUGCAGCCAGAUACAAACGGUUCAUUCUACUUUCGGUUUUGUUCUCGGAUACAGACGCAGCGUGAAGAAACCCCUGAGGUUGUUUUUGUGUUCUGUGUUUGAUAGAGAGAGAGAGAGAAAUUAGAUCCAGAGAUAGAGAGAGACGGAGAAGGAGAGAACCAGAGAGGAGGCCCAUCAGGAUUUCGUCAAGGUUGACCAGUUUCUAUGCAAAGAAGUAUUUUGAUUGUUUUCUUGCCACUGUUCCUGUUUCUGUUCUUUGAUAUUGGUUCAUUGUUCCGUCUUGAUUCAGUGCGUUCGUGAAGGUUCGAUUGAAGGCUGGCAUCGGACGAAUAUAUCGAUCUUCAUCGUUAAUACUAGUGGAGCAAGAUUCUGAACAGAUUACAAGUAAGACAGUUGUUGCCCAAGGGCGGGUGAUUGAAGCAGAUGAUAUAUACGGUUCGUAUUUGUUUUUGUGCCCGUGAGGCAUAAGCUCCUCCACUAGUUGCUGCUUCGGAUUGUGAGAGAAUAAUUACUGUGCUUCGGGUGGUUUUGGGUUUAGAGUUAUCUCUCAAGGAAUGAGUUUUUCCUCUGUAAAGGUCUGAUUCUCAAUUUCUAACAAUGCAAGUAAUUUGAAUAUGUGUGUAUUUUUUAAUGAACCCUGCAUUACAUGCAAGCAACCUUCAUUGCUAUUUCAGUAGAAUGAAGUCAUAAUUAUUAAAUUAUAUCUUAACAAAAGCAAAUUCCGCGGCAAAGCGCGGCCAACUUUUCUAGUCUUACUCUAUAUGGCAUUAAGUUUUAUGAGUUUGAGACUUUGGGCAUCUUAAAAUACAAAUGGAUAAUAAUAAGAAUGAGCUAUGGACGGGCUUUGUGAUUUGGGUUUGGACUUUCUUUACUCCUAAUCUUAAGGCCCAUUAUAUGUUGAAAUAUUUGCCUCGCUUCGAACGGGCUUGGCAGUCCGUAUAAUCAUCCCCAGAUACUACUUACCCAAUCGACCUGCUCCUCCGGCCUAACCACGUCGGAGCCCUUCACGGUGACGUCGGCACCGUUAAAUUGCCAUUUCGGAUUGACCCAAAAACCCCGUUCGCCACAACCCGGUUCAAUUCACAUCUUCACAAACUGAUACAGGAAUAGUAUACAUAAGCUAUGGAGGGAGAUACAGUGCGCAGUGAACAUCAGGAGGAAGAAGAAGAAGAAGAAGAAUAUGUAUUGCUUGACCUUGAUUCUGUUUACUCCCAGCUUCAGAUUCCACCAAACGCACCAUAUGUACUUUCAGGUUUGGAUACAAUGCAACCGGUAUUGAUUCUAGAUGGCAAAUUUAAGUUGAUUGGUCAGUGGGAUGAGACAAUUGGGACAUGUCUUUUUUUCAAAGAGGAAGUUGUUCCUGUUGUUCAUGAAGAAACAGGACCAUCAGAAGCAAACCUUUUUGCUGGCAAAUGCAUUGUUGAUCAAAAGCAAUCUUCAAGCAAGCAAGUAAAACCAGUUGGCCGUACUCAUAGGAUUCUAAAAUUCAGAUUGGCACCAGAUUUUGACCCUCCUAAUACUGCAUCCGCACAGACUGAGCAAGUAAAUUUGUAGAUCUUUUGUAGCAACUCUUAAGAGUGAAACUGGUAUGAGAGGUUUAUACCUAUGUUGAUGUUACUAGCUUAUUUGCAUAAUUCUCCUUGUAAAGGUCUAUUCUAACAAGAUUAAAACUACCCUUUAUUUCAACUUACGUGAAAUUAAGGGUGUUUCUAAAAACACAUGUAGAUAUGCAAUUCAAUUCUUAGUGCUUAAUAUCGAGUGGAAAUGUGAAAAGCUUUAAUGUG
This is an RNA transcript of Rosa rugosa (rugosa rose), 1885 nucleotides long. RefSeq lists it as uncharacterized. Lineage: Eukaryota; Viridiplantae; Streptophyta; Magnoliopsida; Rosales; Rosaceae. The transcript is spliced from 9 exons. The record is from RefSeq and is a predicted model, not a curated record.